UACGUAGGCAGCAAGCGUUGUUCGGAGUUACUGGGCGUAAAGGGUGUGUAGGCGGUUGUUUAAGUUUGGUGUGAAAUCUCCCGGCUCAACUGGGAGGGUGCGCCGAAUACUGAAUGACUAGAGUGCGGGAGAGGAAAGUGGAAUUCCUGGUGUAGCGGUGAAAUGCGUAGAUAUCAGGAGGAACACCGGUGGUGUAGACGGCUCGCUGGGACGGUACUGACGCUGAGGCGCGAAAGCGUGGGGAGCAAACAGG
RNAcentral lists this ribosomal RNA (253 nucleotides) under uncultured bacterium. RNAcentral describes it as "partial 16S ribosomal RNA". It matches the Rfam family "Bacterial small subunit ribosomal RNA", at positions 524 to 776 of the family's 1533-position model. The record is from RNAcentral.